RNAcentral lists this ribosomal RNA (571 nucleotides) under Bacillus sp. (in: firmicutes). RNAcentral's name for it is "bacterial SSU rRNA". It matches the Rfam family "Bacterial small subunit ribosomal RNA", at positions 67 to 621 of the family's 1533-position model. The record is from RNAcentral. Lineage: Bacteria; Bacillati; Bacillota; Bacilli; Caryophanales; Bacillaceae.
CGAAUCGAUGGGAGCUUGCUCCCUGAGAUUAGCGGCGGACGGGUGAGUAACACGUGGGCAACCUGCCUAUAAGACUGGGAUAACUUCGGGAAACCGGAGCUAAUACCGGAUACGUUCUUUUCUCGCAUGAGAGAAGAUGGAAAGACGGUUUACGCUGUCACUUAUAGAUGGGCCCGCGGCGCAUUAGCUAGUUGGUGAGGUAAUGGCUCACCAAGGCGACGAUGCGUAGCCGACCUGAGAGGGUGAUCGGCCACACUGGGACUGAGACACGGCCCAGACUCCUACGGGAGGCAGCAGUAGGGAAUCUUCCGCAAUGGACGAAAGUCUGACGGAGCAACGCCGCGUGAACGAAGAAGGCCUUCGGGUCGUAAAGUUCUGUUGUUAGGGAAGAACAAGUACCAGAGUAACUGCUGGUACCUUGACGGUACCUAACCAGAAAGCCACGGCUAACUACGUGCCAGCAGCCGCGGUAAUACGUAGGUGGCAAGCGUUGUCCGGAAUUAUUGGGCGUAAAGCGCGCGCAGGUGGUUCCUUAAGUCUGAUGUGAAAGCCCACGGCUCAACCGUGGAGG